GUAGGUGGCAAGCGUUGUCCGGAAUUAUUGGGCGUAAAGCGCGCGCAGGCGGUUCUUUAAGUCUGAUGUGAAAGCCCACGGCUCAACCGUGGAGGGUCAUUGGAAACUGGAGAACUUGAGUACAGAAGAGGAAAGCGGAAUUCCACGUGUAGCGGUGAAAUGCGUAGAGAUGUGGAGGAACACCAGUGGCGAAGGCGGCUUUCUGGUCUGUAACUGACGCUGAGGCGCGAAAGCGUGGGGAGCAAACAGGGAUUAGAUACCCUGGUAGUCCACGCCGUAAACGAUGAGUGCUAAGUGUUAGGGGGUUUCCCGCCCCUUAGUGCUGCAGCUAACGCAUUAAGCACUCCGCCUGGGGGAUACGGCCCGCAAGGCUG
This 374-nucleotide ribosomal RNA is filed under the name uncultured organism. RNAcentral describes it as "partial 16S ribosomal RNA". It matches the Rfam family "Bacterial small subunit ribosomal RNA", at positions 527 to 896 of the family's 1533-position model. The record is from RNAcentral.